UACGUAGGGUCCAAGCGUUAUCCGGAAUUACUGGGCGUAAAGAGUGCGUAGGUGGUCAUCUAAGUCAAGUGUUAAAUCCGCGGGCUCAACUCGUGAUCUGCACUUGAUACUGGGUGACUUGAGAUUGGAAGAGGCAGACGGAAUUUACGGUGGAGCGGUAAAAUGCGUAGAUAUCGUAAAGAACACCAAUGGCGAAGGCAGUCUGCUGGGCCAUUUCUGACACUGAGGCACGAAAGCGUGGGGAGCGAAC
This 250-nucleotide ribosomal RNA is filed under the name uncultured bacterium. Its description in RNAcentral is "partial 16S ribosomal RNA". It matches the Rfam family "Bacterial small subunit ribosomal RNA", at positions 524 to 773 of the family's 1533-position model. The record is from RNAcentral.